Molecule: ribosomal RNA, 464 nt
Filed under: uncultured beta proteobacterium
Lineage: Bacteria; Pseudomonadati; Pseudomonadota; Betaproteobacteria
Description: bacterial SSU rRNA
Rfam family: Bacterial small subunit ribosomal RNA
Source: RNAcentral
AGAGUUUGAUCCUGGCUCAGAUUGAACGCUGGCGGCAUGCUUUACACAUGCAAGUCGAACGGCAGCGCGGGGCAACCUGGCGGCGAGUGGCGAACGGGUGAGUAAUAUAUCGGAACGUACCCAGAAGUGGGGGAUAACGUAGCGAAAGUUACGCUAAUACCGCAUACGAUCUACGGAUGAAAGUGGGGGACCUUCGGGCCUCAUGCUUGUGGAGCGGCCGAUAUCUGAUUAGCUAGUUGGUGAGGUAAAGGCUCACCAAGGCGACGAUCAGUAGCUGGUCUGAGAGGACGACCAGCCACACUGGGACUGAGACACGGCCCAGACUCCUACGGGAGGCAGCAGUGGGGAAUUUUGGACAAUGGGCGCAAGCCUGAUCCAGCAAUGCCGCGUGAGUGAAGAAGGCCUUCGGGUUGUAAAGCUCUUUUGUCAGGGAAGAAACGGCCGAGGAUAAUACCUUUGGCUAA